UGUGACACUGACCGCCCAGUGACCACCCAGUGACCAACUGACCACCCAGUGACUGCUGAGUGACCAACAAGUGACCAACUGACCGCCCCUGGAUAUCCCCUCUGUGACACUGACCAGGCACUGACCACUGAGUGACAAACUGACUGCUGAUUGACCGAUGAGUGACCAACAAGUGACCGCUGAGUGACCAACAAGUGACCAACUGACCACCCAGUGACUGCUGAGUGACUGCCAAGUGACCAACUGACCACCCCCUGGAUAUCCCCUCUGUGACACUGAACCACUGAGUCACCGCCCAGUGACCAACUGACCGCCCAGUGACCGCCCAGUGACCGCCCAGUGACCGACGAGUGACCACCCAGUGACCAACUGACCACCCCCUGGAUAUCCCCUCUGUGACACUGACCACUGAGUGACCACUGAGUGACCAACUGACCGCCCAGUGACCACCGAGUGACCGCCCAGUGACCAACUGACCGCCCAGUGACCACCGAGUGACCGCCCAGUGACCAACUGACCACCCCCUGGAUAUCCCCUCUGGGACACUGACCGCUGAGUGACCACUGAGUGACCAACUGACCGCCCAGUGACCAACUGACCGCCCCCUGGACAUCCUCUCUGUGACAUUGACCACUGAGUGACCACUGAGUGACCAACUGACCGCCCCCAGAUACCCCCUCUGUGACACUGACCACUAAAUGACCACCAAGUGACCAACUGACCACCCCCUGGAUACCCCCUCUGGGACACUGACCAGUCACUGACCACUGAGUGACCACCCUGGGGGACACUGACCACUCAGUGACCACUGAGUGACCACUGAGUGACCCCUGAGUGAGUGACCCCUUGACCCCCCAGUGACCAACUGACCACCAAGUGCCAAGUGAGUGACCAACUGACCCCUGAGUGACCAACUGACCUCUGAGUGACCAACUGACCCCUGAGUGACCCAGGAGUGCUCAGCUGACCCCUGAGUGACCCCUGAGUGACCAACUGACCCCUGAGUGACCAACUGACCCCUGAGUGACCCCUGAGUGCCCCCGGGGAGGGGGUGGGGCCUGGCUGAUGAAUAAAGUGCCCUUCAUUAACGAUUGAUUAAUUAACGACUGCCGAGCGAUUGAUGAGUGACGUCAUUGGGGGAGGGGCCAGACACGAGGGGGGGGGGAGGGGACAGCAGGGCCGCCCCUCCCCCACCCCCCAGUGCUCCCAGUGCUCCCAGUAACAGCUCCCAGUGCUCCCAGUAACUCCCAGUAACAGCUCCCAGUGCUCCCAGUAACCCGUCCCAGUGCUACCAGUGCUCCGAGUGUUGCCAGUGCUCUCCCAGUGCUCCCAGUAAAAGCUCCCAGUGCUCCCAGUAAUGCCCAGUGCCCCCCCAGUGCUCCCAGUAAUGACCAGGGACCCCUCCCAGUGCUCCCAGUAACGGCUCCAAGUGCUCCCAGUGACAGCUCCCAGUGCUCCCAGUAACUCCCCAAGACCCCUCCCAGUGCUCCCAGUAACAGCUCCCAGUGCUCCCAGUAACACCCAGUAACUCCCAGUGCUCCCAGUAACAGCUCCCAGUGCUCCCAGUAAGAGCUCCCAGUGCUCCCAGUAACUCCCAGUGCUCCCAGUGCUCCCAGUGCUCCCAGUAACCCUUCCCAGUGCUCCCAGUGACCCUUCCCAGUGCUCCCAGUAAUGGCCAUUAACAGCUCCCAGUAACUCCCAGUAACUCCCAAUAACAGUUCCCAGUAACUCCCAGUGCUCCCAGUGCUCCCAGGAACAGCUCCCAGUGCUCCCAGUAAUGCCCAGUGACCCCUCCCAGUGCUCCCAGUAACGCCCAGUGACCCCUCCCAGUGCUCCCAGUGAUCCCAGUAACACACAGUGACAGCUCCUAGUGCUCCCAGUAACAGCUCCCAGUAAUUCCCAGUAACAGCUCCCAGUUCUCCCAGUAAUACCCAGUAGCUCCCAGUGCUCCCAGUAACAGCUCACAGUAACACCCAGUGACCCCUCCCAGUGCUCCCAGUAACACCCAGUGACCCCUCCCAGUGCUCCCAGUAAGAGCUCCCAGUGCUCCCAGUAACAGCUCCCAGUGCUCCCAGUAACCUGUAUAAACUGGUUUUACAUGGUUAGAUAGAGAAAUUAAAUUGUCUCUCACAAACAGCUUUUCCUGCACGUACGCAUUGGGGGUUUGAGUCCCCAAUCAAUACAGGGUAACAACUUGUUACUGACCAACUGGGGAUAGACAGGGGAUGUUCUUAAAAAGCCCUAAAAAAGGGAGUCCCAAAAUAAACUGGGAUUGAUCCUUUCUUUUUGCACCAUAA
RNAcentral lists this long non-coding RNA (2297 nucleotides) under Taeniopygia guttata (zebra finch). RNAcentral describes it as "lncRNA (ENSTGUG00000029439.1)". Lineage: Eukaryota; Metazoa; Chordata; Aves; Passeriformes; Estrildidae. The record is from RNAcentral.